UUUGGGAUUUGGGAUUUGGGAAUUUGGGGAUUUGGGGAUUUGGGGAUUUGGGAUCCGGCCCCGCCGAGCCAGAGCCGCUCAUCCUCCGGAAUUCUGGGAGCGGGAAAAUCGGGAUCGGGGAUUGGGGAUUUGGGGAUUUUGGGAUCAGGAAUUUGGGAUUUGGGAUCUGACCCCGCGGAGUCGGAGCCGCUCAUCCUCCGGAAUUCUGGGAAUGGGAAAAUCGGGAUCGGGGAUUUGGGGAAAGGAUCCAGGAUUUGGGAUUUGGGAUUUGGGGAUUUGGGGAAUUUGGGAUUUGGGGUCUGAGAUCGCGGAGCCGCUCAUCCUCCGGAAUUCUGGGAGCGGGAAAAUCGGGAUUUGGGAUUUGGGAUCAGGAAUUUGGGAUUUUGGGAUUUGGGAAAGGAUCCAGAAUCUGGGAUUUGGGAUUUGGGAUUUGGGAAUUUGGGAUUUGGGAUCCGACCCUGUGUAGCUGGAGCCGUUCAUCCUCCGGAAUUCUGGGAGCGGGAAAAUCGGGAUCGGGGAUUUUGGGAUCCGGGAAAGGAUCCAGGAUUUGGGAUUUGGGAUUUUGGGAUUUGGGGAAUUUGGGAUUUGGGGAAUUUGGGAUUUGGGAUCUGAGAUCGCGGAGCCGCUCAUCCUCCGGAAUUCUGGGAGAGGGAAAUUUGAGAUUGGGGAUUCAGGAUUUGGGGAUUUGGGAUCAGGAAUUUGGGAUUCGGGAUUUUGGGAUUUUGGGGAUCAGGAAUUUGGGAUUCGGGAUUUGGGAUUUUGGGGAUUCGGGAUCCGACCCCGCGGAGCCGGAGCCGCUCAUCCUCCGGAAUUCUGGGAGCGGGAAAAUCGGGAUUUGGGAUUUUGGGAUCCAGGAAAGGAUCCAGGAUUUGGGAUUUGGGAUUUUGGGAUUUUGGGAUUUGGGGAUUUUGGGAUUUAGGGAAUUUGGGAUUUGGGAUCUGAGAUCACGGAGCCGCUCAUCCUCCGGAAUUCUGGGAGAGGGAAAAUCGGGAUCUGGGAUUGGGGAUUUGGGGAUUUGGGGAUUUUGGGAUUUUGGGAUUUUGGGAUUUGGGGAUCAGGAAUUUGGGAUUUUGGGAUUUGGGAUCCGACCCCGUGUAGCUGGAGCUGUUCAUCCUCCGGAAUUCUGGGAGCAGGAAAUUCGGGAUUUGGGAUUUGGGAUUUUGGGAAAGGAUCCAGGAUUCAGGAUCAGGAAUUUGGGAUUUGGGAUCCAACCCCGCGGAGCCGGAGCCGCUCAUCCUCCGGAAUUCUGGGAGCGGGAAAAUCGGGAUUUGGGAUUUUGGGAUCCAGGAAAGGAUCCAGGAUUUGGGAUU
RNAcentral lists this long non-coding RNA (1310 nucleotides) under Cyanistes caeruleus (blue tit). RNAcentral describes it as "lncRNA (ENSCCEG00000001766.1)". The record is from RNAcentral. Lineage: Eukaryota; Metazoa; Chordata; Aves; Passeriformes; Paridae.